Non-coding RNA from Acanthosepion pharaonis, 112 nucleotides. The record is from the annotation of a GenBank genome assembly. NCBI's taxonomy places the organism in Eukaryota, Metazoa, Mollusca, Cephalopoda, Sepiida, Sepiidae.
ACGGCCACAUAAUGUUGAAAUACCGGUUCCCGUACGAUCAGCGAAUUUAAAGAACGUCGAGUGUGGUCAGUAACAAGAUGUGUGACCACUUGGGAAUACCAGGUGUUGUAAG